AAUCAUUUUUCGUUGGUCUCGCGUUUAAUGAGCUUAUUCUUAAUUUUCCUAAGUAUUUUUCCUAGGAUUGUUUCGCUUUUUGUGGUAUCUCCCAUCUCGUAUUCUUAUCAUCUGAAAGUUUUAAGUUUUUUCUGAUACAAUUGAUAUUUCAAAGAAAACGAUUUUAAUAUUGUAUAUAAAUAUAUUAAUAUUUAGGAGUGUAAAAACUUGUGUGCUAAAUUGCAAAUUUAUUCAAAGAAGUGCCACUUUUCUUCGCAACAGCAGGUGUGAAUUGUUUCAACAAUUAUUAAGCAAUUUUUGUAAUAUUACCUAAACAAAAAUCGUCAUGGAGUCUAAUACUAAGUCAAAGAUGUCAAGCACCAGUAAAUCCAUCAGCAGUUCAUCAACAAUACAGCAGUCGUCCACUAUAAGCAUACAAAGCAGUAGCAACAAACAAAUAUUUACUAUUGAUGCCGGGGAAUUAACGAAAAUGCCUUCAGUUCCCAUUAUCCAUAACGAUACAGCCAGAACUGGCAAGCAAAAAGGGGCUCUUACAACGCCAGUUAACGAAAAUGCACCUUUUCAGAAGCAAUCACAAUUUCAAUAUUCUAAUGAAGAUCUGCCCGCCAUAAACCAGCUCUCUUCGUCUUUACCAACUUCAUCCUUUUCUUCACAACCUUCUACCGAUAUGAAGAAAACUUCAAAAACCGACGCAGUAUCGGAUAUAUUAAUAAGUCACUCUGUCAUGUUAAUGGAAUCUACCAAAAAACAGCUAAUAACAGCUGCUUCUUCUACCUGUACUAAUAAUUCGUCUGGCUUAUUGAAAUCUUCCGAAUCUGUCGAACGAGCUUGUUUACAAACCUCAUCUAGUAUGGAAGAAGCUAAAUUAGAAAUCAAAUCAUAAAUGUAUAUACAAGUAUACAAGUAUUUCUUAUGUAUAGUUGCACAGGGCAUAUUUAAUGUGUGUCUGUAUUUGAUGCAACAAAUUAAUAAACAAAUUUACGUAAAUGUAUAAGUAUGUAUUUGGGGCAUUCAUUUUAUCAUCAAUUUGGUUGUUCUCAUUGAACUGUUUCCGAUUCGCUAAUUAUUUGUUCUCUAUAUGUAGACGCUGCUAUCUUGUUGAUUCACCAAGCGUUGGAGUGAAGCGAACCGAAGAAACUGUACCAGAGGUUCAAACAAAUUUGAAACACUUGCUGUUCAACCCUGCGGUUACAUGUCUUCUGAAGCAUGCGCAAUUGUAUUGCGAUCCCCUUUGGUUGUGUAUUUCUUAUCUUCGUCCAAAAACGUUUCAGUAACUUCUUACUCUUGUUUGUGAAAAAUUUAUUAAAGCUUUAUGUUUAAAAUAGAAAACAUAAAAAAAUCUUAAUACUUUCAAUAUGUAAUUUGAGCUAUGCAGUAAAACUUAUAACUGACCUAAAAUAUGCAAAACGAACUUGGUAGCAUUACUCUCGUACGAAAUACAUUCUUUUUAUCCUAUUAUUCACAUAAUUAAUUAUUCAAUUCAGUGAACAUUUUAUCUACGAAUAAAAGCAAAAACGUUUUGUAUAAGAAUAAGUGAUUGUACUUGAGGUUUAAUUAUGAAUAUCUUCAUACAAAUAAAUUUCAUUGGAAAAAUUAACGAAUUUAAGCCUUCUUUAUCAAUGUCUGGUUACCAGUUGAUAGAGUUGUUCGUUUAAUAGAUUGUACUUAAUAAACAUUAACAAUAUGCAUGGUUAAUGGUGGUGUACGCUUAAUAGAGUGUCCAUUGAAUAUCACUGUAUUUUUUAUUUAUGAAUUGUUUUUACUAUUCUAUCUUCGAAGUUGGUUCGAACUGAACACAUUGUGCUAAAUUUUACUAAAGUCGGUUCAGUAGAUUAGGAAACCAUUGCGGACAAACAACGUGACACGUACUUUUAAUAUAUAAAGAUUUACACGACACGGCACAAUAUUGAACGAAUCGAAGACAUCUAUUUUCUCAUUAUUUCUUCUAAGACUUCAUCUAUCUAUUCCUUCCGUUUUUAUUUUCUUGACACAUUGAAGGGCAGUAGAAACUAAUAAAGUACAAGACUUUAUAUGUUUGUGUUUUUUAGAAUAAUAUAAGGAUAGCUUACUCGUUCGCUUAUAUAUAUUUAAUUUUGAUUAAUUCAGCACUUUAAAGUAAGUUUCGGCUAUCAUCGUCAUGGCGCCAGCGGAUUCCAGAUACUACGUAAUGGGAUGAUGGCGGCUAUAGCACCAAAAUUUUAAAUUAGAUGUUGAAUGCCUCAAAUACAAAACAUUUGUAUUCAACAAUGUAUUUUUGGGAGAUUUACAUGCAAACUAACAUUUCACAAAAAAUCACUUUACUAUAUUAACAACUUCCAACGUAAAAAGCUGUCAUUGCCUCCAAAACAUGGCGCCAAACUAUGUAUACCCCGGUAGCUUCUAAAAGCAACCGUUUUAUUCGGGGAUGCCACACAGAGAACUCCGCUUUAACGGCUAUAGACACAGUGAAUGAGUGAAGAAAUUAAAAAAAAAUAAUAAAAUAAAAUAAAUAUAUCAUAUAUAUUACACAGUACAACAGCUAAUCUGGGGGGUGAGAAAUUCCAAGUCAGGGUGAUGGUACUAAACCCUUUGAGGGUUUUACUAUACUGACCUAGUAUCCCGACAUGGAAUUUCUCACCCCCCAGACAAUAAUCCCAAAAAUGUUCCACAGUGUUAUUAUAUGUUUAUUAAAAAAUAAUAAUAAUGCAAAUAAAGUGAUUUGAAGAUAUUAUGAUUAUGCUUUUUACUUUUAUAUACACAUUAGGGUGUUUUUUUCAUCAUGUAAUUUCCUUGGAAAUGCCCUAAAAAAAUUCCCUGAAAAUUUGAGCACUUAAUAUUAACAUUAAAGACUGGACCAAGGCAUGUAAAUAUUUUCCAUAGAAAAUAUACAGGACAAUCGUGAUUUUUUAUCUUUAAAUUUCUAUAGCUCAGAGGCAUUUUAUGGCAUUGCUUUGACUUUAGACACAUACAUAUUUCUUAGAAUAGAACACUACAAAAGUGUCCAUUGCGACAAAGUCGAAACUCACACCGGCGAGGUAGUACGGGCUCUAAACCUGACUUUUUCACGAAAUUCGCAUUUCUUUGUAUAUAUCUCGUAAAUGACAAGAGCUAUAGAAAAAAUGUGCAUGACAAACUUGUAAGAAAUUUCAUAUGCUACCAAAAAGAUCCGUGGUCUAUUGUUUUUUUAGGGUAUUUCCAAGGAAAUUUUAUGAUGGGACUGAAAAAAAUGAAUAGUUCAAAAAAAGAAAAACACACCUAUACAUAUAUAUAUAGUAUAUAUAUAUCAGCAUUUUAAUACUAAGCAAACCAGCUCAGUGUAACUUGUGCUCCUCUUUAAAAGGCCUAAUUAAGAAAAAGUAAUGUGUUCGGAGUAUUGUAUUUUGUGUUGAAAUGUUUGCCCUAAAUGCUAUCGAUUAAAAAAUUUUAAAACUAUACAUAAAUAUGUAUUAAAAUAUUUAGUUAGAUAGUUUGCUAAGAAGAACUUUUAUAUUUUCUUGUUUGGUUCUACGAGCUCUACCUUAAUAAGCAUUUUGUGAUUAUUCAUAUCUGAUAUACAUAGAUCGAAAAAUAAAGUAUGUGUUUUUGAGACUUUCUA
This is a long non-coding RNA of Bactrocera neohumeralis, 3574 nucleotides long. RefSeq lists it as uncharacterized. Lineage: Eukaryota; Metazoa; Arthropoda; Insecta; Diptera; Tephritidae. The transcript has 3 exons. The record is from RefSeq and is a predicted model, not a curated record.